GCUCAGAUGAACGCUGGCGGCAGGCCUAACACAUGCAAGUCGAGCGGUAGCACAGAGAGCUUGCUCUCGGGUGACGAGCGGCGGACGGGUGAGUAAUGUCUGGGAAACUGCCUGAUGGAGGGGGAUAACUACUGGAAACGGUAGCUAAUACCGCAUAAUGUCGCAAGACCAAAGUGGGGGACCUUCGGGCCUCAUGCCAUCAGAUGUGCCCAGAUGGGAUUAGCUAGUAGGUGGGGUAACGGCUCACCUAGGCGACGAUCCCUAGCUGGUCUGAGAGGAUGACCAGCCACACUGGAACUGAGACACGGUCCAGACUCCUACGGGAGGCAGCAGUGGGGAAUAUUGCACAAUGGGCGCAAGCCUGAUGCAGCCAUGCCGCGUGUGUGAAGAAGGCCUUCGGGUUGUAAAGCACUUUCAGCGGGGAGGAAGGCGUUAAGGUUAAUAACCUUAUCGAUUGACGUUACCCGCAGAAGAAGCACCGGCUAACUCCGUGCCAGCAGCCGCGGUAAUACGGAGGGUGCAAGCGUUAAUCGGAAUUACUGGGCGUAAAGCGCACGCAGGCGGUCUGUCAAGUCGGAUGUGAAAUCCCCGGGCUCAACCUGGGAACUGCAUUCGAAACUGGCAGGCUAGAGUCUUGUAGAGGGGGGUAGAAUUCCAGGUGUAGCGGUGAAAUGCGUAGAGAUCUGGAGGAAUACCGGUGGCGAAGGCGGCCCCCUGGACAAAGACUGACGCUCAGGUGCGAAAGCGUGGGGAGCAAACAGGAUUAGAUACCCUGGUAGUCCACGCCGUAAACGAUGUCGAUUUGGAGGUUGUGCCCUUGAGGCGUGGCUUCCGGAGCUAACGCGUUAAAUCGACCGCCUGGGGAGUACGGCCGCAAGGUUAAAACUCAAAUGAAUUGACGGGGGCCCGCACAAGCGGUGGAGCAUGUGGUUUAAUUCGAUGCAACGCGAAGAACCUUACCUGGUCUUGACAUCCACAGAACUUUCCAGAGAUGGAUUGGUGCCUUCGGGAACUGUGAGACAGGUGCUGCAUGGCUGUCGUCAGCUCGUGUUGUGAAAUGUUGGGUUAAGUCCCGCAACGAGCGCAACCCUUAUCCUUUGUUGCCAGCGGUUCGGCCGGGAACUCAAAGGAGACUGCCAGUGAUAAACUGGAGGAAGGUGGGGAUGACGUCAAGUCAUCAUGGCCCUUACGACCAGGGCUACACACGUGCUACAAUGGCAUAUACAAAGAGAAGCGACCUCGCGAGAGCAAGCGGACCUCAUAAAGUAUGUCGUAGUCCGGAUUGGAGUCUGCAACUCGACUCCAUGAAGUCGGAAUCGCUAGUAAUCGUAGAUCAGAAUGCUACGGUGAAUACGUUCCCGGGCCUUGUACACACCGCCCGUCACACCAUGGGAGUGGGUUGCAAAAGAAGUAGGUAGCUUAACCUUCGGGAGGGCGCUUACCACUUUGUGAUUCAUGACUGGGGUGAAGUCGUACAAGGGUAA
This 1484-nucleotide ribosomal RNA is filed under the name Klebsiella pneumoniae subsp. pneumoniae. Its description in RNAcentral is "bacterial SSU rRNA". It matches the Rfam family "Bacterial small subunit ribosomal RNA". Lineage: Bacteria; Pseudomonadati; Pseudomonadota; Gammaproteobacteria; Enterobacterales; Enterobacteriaceae. The record is from RNAcentral.